RNAcentral lists this long non-coding RNA (7479 nucleotides) under Brassica rapa (field mustard). RNAcentral's name for it is "long non-coding RNA (BRAP_LNC003913)". The record is from RNAcentral. Lineage: Eukaryota; Viridiplantae; Streptophyta; Magnoliopsida; Brassicales; Brassicaceae.
UCCUUUUGUUUGGUACAUUUUCUUGUUUUCUCGCAUUGAAAUAUAUAAACUACUAUUGUUUUUGCCCAAUUAUACAUGCUAAUGUUUAGUCGACAUGGCCAAAAUAUGACCAUAACAUCAUUAAAUAAUAGGUACGAUUGACGUUAAACUAAGGGCUUGAAUUAAGCCGAAACAUAAUACGAUCUUAGACAUAAUGCCAAAUACAAACAUGUGCGAUCUAAAUCUAAUCAUACUGCACAUAACCUGUGACGUUCAACUCACGCUUGAGUUUGUUCUCAUGAUACUUAAAGGAGCUAGGGCCAUGCCUGAGGAUGGUUAAUUACAGCCAGCCUGAACAUAGACAAAGAAACCGACCGCUUACGACAUCAUCAUUUUAGUUGUAAAUAAACAAAAUAAAAAUUGUACACGAAUAAUAAAGACAUACAAUUUUAAAUGAGCCUAAGACAUUAAGAAAAAAUUAAAAAUGUUGGACUGGUACUGAUUACAGCUUCAAUCCCAAAAACUUUGCUAUACAACCUGUGAUACUGCUAAUCUAACCUAUUAAUUUAGAGUCAUAUUUUUAUCUACAAUUAAUAAGUCAUAGUAGGACCACUUACAGAAUUAGUUAAUAUUUGAUUAUUUACAAUAAUAAUAAUCCAACCAUAAAUUUGAAUUUUUUUUUAAUUAUAACAAAAUCUGUUGAGAAAGAAUCUAACAAAAUCUUACUAAAAAUUUAAAUAUUUUAUAAAAUAAAACAUUAAUUAAUUUUGUAAUUAGUAAUAUAAUAUUAUUAUAAAUCAGUGUUAAUUUUUUUUUUAUAAAACAAGAAAAUAAAAAUUCUAUACUAUUUCUUUUAUAAAUUUUAUAAUUAUAUUCUAUAUUAUAUAAAAGUAGAAGUGAUUUAUGCAUUAAAUAUGAAAAUAUAUAUUUAAGAGGUAAAUUAACAAAUUUUUUUUUUAAAUUGUUUCAUUUAAGUAAAUUAUCACUCAUUAUUAAAAUUAGUUAAAUUUCAUAAAAUAUAAAAUAUAUUUAUACAAAAUAAAUUUGUUAACACAAGUUAAACUUUUAUAUUCUACAACUAUAUAUUCUAUUUUUAUUUAUUUUGAAUCUCUCAACAAUAUAUUGUGUAAAAUGUCUAUAUACAAAAAUAUAAUAGUAUAUAAUAACCUUUAGUUCAUAUACUAUUUUAAAAAUAUGUUAUUAGAAAACUAUGAAAUUUUAAUAACUGAUUAAAAAUAUUAAUAACAAAUCAAAUUUUAAUAUUAAGUUUAUUUUUUAUUUUUAUUACAACAAAAUCCGUUGGAAAAAAGUUAGAUAAUAUUAUCAAAAAUUAAAAUAUUUUUAUAUUAUAAUGUAUUAGUGUAGUAAAAGAUAUUCAAAAUUCAUGUAAUCUUCGAAACUCAAAAAUAGUUGUGUGAUAUUCCAAAGUUUUCUUGAAAAAAUAUAUAAUUUGAAAAAAAAUAUUAAAACUAAAAAUGAUAAUUUUUCAAAUUUUUAAAAGAUAAAAUCAUAGAUAGUAAAUAGUAACUUUUUCAAAUGCACCACGAAAAAAAAAUAUAUGUUAUAAAAAUGAAAGUAAUCUAAUAUUUUGAAAUCUUAAUAAAAAAACUUAAUAUCAUAACAUCCAAAAAUGUAUUCUAUAUGCAUAAAAUUUACUAAAAUAAUAUGAUAGAUGCUACUAUGUAUAAUAUUUACUAAAAUAAUAAGGUUAUAUUAUUUAAACAAAACAAUAUUUUUACUUAGAAAUCUCGUAAAAUACUAAAAUGAUAUAUGUUAAAGUAUAUUUUUAAACACAAUAUGUAAAUAUAAAUUAGCUUAUAUAUAUAUAAAUUUUAAAAUGCAUUAUAUGCAAAAUGUAUAAAUUAAAGAGAAAACAUAAUUUGAAGGAGGUUUUCUAUUUGAUUAUUUCAGAUUGUUAUUUUAUUGUACCUAACUCAAAAUAUAUUAGUAAGUAUUAAAAGUUAACUUAAAAAUAUAUUAGAAAAAUAACUAUAUAUUAAUAAUGUCGAAUAAAAAAUAUAACCAAUAUUAUAGAGUUACACAAUAUAUUAUAUUAAAAUGGAAACUAUAUAUUAAAAAGUUGUAAUAAUAUCAAAUACUUUAUGAAAUGAAAAAAAUAUUUGCAGCGGGUCAAAAUAUAGUAGUCAUUAUAUAUCACCAACAAGUCUCAGUUUGACUAUAUAUGAUUUAGAUGAUAAAAUGACCAUUAAAAUUUUCAGAACUACUCUGAUUUUUCGCUUCUUUGUUAUAACUAGCAACUUGUUAUCUAUUUCAAACUGAAUUGUUCCAACCUUUUUUUUUCAAACUCAAUUGGUAAGCAGAAAUUGACUUUAAAAUAUUGGAUCGCACGUGGAUUAGUGUAAGAAAAACACAAAUGUCCCCCUUCACCGGCCAAGCAGGUCAACAUCUCUACCUUCUAAAACACAACAAUUUUUUUUGUUGAAUAUUAUUUUCUCAUACAAUACACCAAAUAUUUGUUAAUAAACAAAUACCAUAGACCACUACGAAAAGAUCUAGUAAUUGAUAAACUAUUAAACCCAUCUCAACUUUGAGAUAUAUAAAAUGUAUAACUAACUCUUGCAAUUCAAGACAUCAAUCUGCUGGGCUAAACUGUAAGAAUAAGAAUUUAGUUUUUUUUUUAAGUAGGCAAAGAUCAGAAGAAAAAAAAAGCUAAAAAAGGUUCAGCCUGUGAUACGAAGGUUAUAUUCGUCUUUUGGUAUUUCUUUUAUUGGAAAAAAGAGUUUCUGUAAUAAGAAAGCUGUUAUUGUGGCGCUUACUGCUUUAGCUUCGGGAUUUGGUCCAAUCGUCUCUCUUGUACAGAUUGACCCCAAAGACCCCCAGAAGAAGCUCUGAAGAAGACCAAGAAGACAGAGAGAAAGAGAGCAGCUUUGAGUUUUGUCCCAACGGUUUGUACACCUCUUACUUCGUUGGUCUGGAUUUGGUUUUCUGGAUCCGGUUCAAGUUCUGUCCGUUCGGUUCGCUUAUUGUGUGUGUGUGUGUGUCUCUGCUCUGUUUGAUUGAAAGCUUUAAACUUUGGAUCUUCGAUUUUUGUAUGCUUUCAUUUUGUCAUUGAUGAUGAUUGAAAUGGAGUUGCUUUUGUGAUUCUAAUAAUCCAAAAUUUUAUUUUUAUUGUUUACAAUGGGCUAUUGUGUUUGUAGAGAUUAUGAGGAGUCUCAUCAUGAACUUUUUAUGUGUAGAGAUUUCAAAAUUUAGAUUAGAGAGAUUAUGAAAGUUUUGAUGAACAUUUUGGAUUCCUUUGAUCAGUCCCCAGAAAGUAAGAUUCUCUCUAAACUUUUUGUUCGGUAAAUUUUGUCAUACUCUGCCUUUUUUUGGAGACGUGGUGAGGAAUCUCUUCUUUAAUCAGAAUUCAAAAAGGAUUGCAAAAUUGUUAUAAAUAAAAAAGACUUUAUGAUUGUAAAUUCUUCUUCUUCUUCCCUUUAACGGCUUUCUUUUUUGAGAAAAACAAAUAGUAGUUUUUGUUUACUCCUCCCUUCAUUCUCUACCUCUCUUUGUGAAAUUGAAUGAGUUCUUUGGUUCUUUCAAGUGGGACCAAGAACUAGAUGCGUGUCUUAGUUUUCUUAUCUGACAGAGAUUUGAGCAAGUAUUUGCUUUUGUGACCAUAUCUACAUGUUUUCCUCAUUAGUAUUUUUAUUCAUGAAAAGUUUGUUUAAUUUCCUUUUCUUUUGAUUCUGAUUCUAGAUUCACACAUCGUGACCUGGAACCUGAUUCUCACAUCUGCUUCUUUCUCCACGGAGUGCACUAGCUGAGACCACAUUCUAUAAUUCAUGUUUUGUUUGAAAGUAGCAUUCUCCUUGAAAGCUUUGAACGCCUCUUGCUCUGAGCGUUUGUGAUGCACUAAAGAUACUGGACGAGUGUAUCACCAAGAUCGAACUACAGUUUCUUGUUACCUAAGCUUCCGCUCUCAAUCAGUUUGUGUGCUUUAGAUUCAUUACAUGUCUUCCCUUGAAGUGGGAGGAGGAGGACAAGUUGCAUUCGCAGAAAGAACCAAAUCCGUUGAUGCACUCACCAAGAAAGAGAUCCUCUCCGCUCUAACCAACGGAGAGACCACCUCCGAACCUUCCGAGGACGCUAGGUUCAGAAACAGGGAGCUCUCCCUCCCCAACGGCGAGUCCUACGACGGCACUCUCCUCGGAAACGUCCCCGAGGGCUCAGGGAAGUACGCGUGGUCAGACGGUAGCGUUUACGUCGGCGAAUGGAGACGCGGGAUGAGACACGGCAACGGGAAGAUGAGAUGGGCUUCGGGCGCGUGCUACGAAGGCGAGUUCUCAGGUGGCUACAUGCACGGUACAGGGACGUACACGGACGCUAAUAACUUAACGUAUAAAGGAAGGUGGCGGCUGAAUCUCAAACACGGGCUCGGGUACCAAGUUUACCCUAACGGUGACGUCUUCGAAGGCUCUUGGAUUCAGGGUUUGGGAGAAGGGCCAGGGAAGUACACUUGGGGUAAUGGGAAUGUCUAUCUUGGGGAUAUGAAAGGUGGGAAGAUGUCUGGGAAAGGGACGUUGACUUGGAUCACUGGGGACUCUUAUGAAGGAAGCUGGUUGAAUGGGAUGAUGCAUGGGUUCGGUGUGUACACGUGGAGGGACGGUGGUUGCUACGUAGGGACGUGGACGCGUGGUUUGAAAGAUGGGAAAGGAUCUUUUUACUCGGCGGGGACUAGAGUUCCCGCCGUGCAGGAGUUUUAUCUCAACGCUCUUAGGAAAAGAGGGGUGUUGCCUGAUCUGAGGAGGCAGAGCCAAGUUGCUGCAGCUUCUUCGGUUAAUAUGGAGAGUCUUAGAGUCGGUGGUGGUGGUAACAACAAGUUAUCGAAAGGGAGUUUGAUUAACUUGGAGCAGUCACGCAACGGGAGGGUUUCUUUGGAGAGGAGGUGGAGUCUUGAAGUGAGUAUUGAGAAAGUGAUUGGGCAUGAUUACUCGGAUUUGGAGAGGGGAAGCGGUACUGAGGAGUAUAGUGCGAACAGACCGAUCUUGGAGCGGGAGUAUAUGCAAGGUGUGCUGAUCAGUGAGCGUGUGGUGGUAGACAACAGGUUUUCGCCUACUUCGAAAAGAGCUAAGAGGAAACAUAAGAGGCUUUUUAAAGAAGCUAAGAAGCCUGGGGAAGUUGUUAUCAAAGGUCAUAGGAGUUAUGAUUUGAUGCUCAAUUUGCAGCUUGGAAUCAGGUAUGUGCUUGCUCCUUCUAGUCCUGUGUCCUAUAGGGCUGAGAUUUUAAACCAAACCGAACCAAAAUUUUUGGUUAGUUUGGUUCAAUUCAGUAGGUUUUUUUUUCUAAAAGUUCAGUUUUUGGUUUGGUUCGAUUUGGCAAUCGGUUACUUCGGUUAAAAAAGAGAAAACUAUAACCAAACCAUGCCAGAAAACCCGCACCAAACUACCAAGUUUCAAACCGAACUAAACGCAUUUAACUGAGCUUAUCCGAAACUUAAACAAAGUUAAACCAAAAUAUAACCGAAAUCAAAAACUUUGGAGGCCGAACACCUAACCAAACCGAAUUUUAUUUUGAGUUUAAUUUAGUAAGAUAUACGUUGAACCGAACUAACCGGAAACCGAACUACCUGAACCAAAUGUCCUGUGAGAUAAUCUGUUUUUGUGAGAUAAGCUUAGCCUAGUAUUGUGUUACUAAAACUAGUUCAAACGUUUAGGUACACAGUGGGGAAAAUAACGCCUAUACAAAGGAGAGAAGUGAGGACAGCAGACUUUGGACCUCGGGCUAGCUUUUGGAUGAGUUUUCCUCGAGCUGGCUCCGCCAUGACGCCUCCUCACCACUCUGAAGAUUUCAAAUGGAAAGACUAUUGCCCUAUGGUAUUCAGGUUAGUUUCUAUGGAUACUCAAAAGCUUUGUGUCUCAUUGGUGUUUUACAUUCAUUCUAAACCUUGUAGGAACUUGAGGGAGAUGUUCAAGAUGGAUGCAGCUGAUUACAUGAUGUCCAUUUGUGGAAAUGAUACCUUAAGGGAACUUUCUUCUCCAGGGAAGAGCGGGAGUGUCUUCUUCUUGUCUCAGGAUGAUAGGUUCAUGAUUAAAACACUCAGGAAAUCUGAAGUCAAGGUUUGUCACCACUUAUGCAAUUGUGUAGUGCUGGUUUGAGCUUGUGUGUGAUGUAUGGAGUAUAAAUCAAAUCCUUCAUGUGUAGGUUCUCCUGAGGAUGCUUCCAUAUUACCAUCAUCAUGUGAAGACGUAUGAGAACACCCUCAUUACUAAGUUCUUUGGCCUUCACAGAAUCAAACCAUCAAGUGGACAAAAGGUACUGAUGCAUCCCUCUUGUACUAUAUCAUUAGCUUUGAGAUUGUUACUAACUUCAAAUAUCUCUCUCUUGCAUUGCAGUUCCGCUUUGUGGUGAUGGGUAACAUGUUCUUUACAGAUCUAAGAAUCCACCGGAGAUUUGACCUUAAAGGUUCGAAGUUGGGACGCUCUGCAGACAAAGUGGAGAUAGACGAGAACACGAUACUUAAAGAUUUGGAUCUGAACUACAGCUUCUUCUUGGAACCUUCUUGGCGAGAGGGUUUACUAAAGUACUACUCUCUCCAGAACUAUAUGCAUUUUUCAAUUCAACGUUUUAAACUUCUUUCACUGCUGGUGUAUGUAAACAGGCAACUAGAGAUCGAUAGCAAGUUCUUGGUAGAACAGAACAUAAUGGAUUACAGCCUUUUGCUCGGUGUGCAUCACCGAGCUCCAGAGCACUUAAGGACCCAGUUGGUCCGUUCUCGAAGUAUAACAGCUGAUGCGUUAGAGAGUGUAGCUGAAGAUGGUGAGAUUCUCAUAUCUUAAAGCUUAUUAUUAUUAUUAUAGAAUCUCAUUCUAAUGAUGAUGAUAAAUGAUGAUGAAACAGAUACAAUCGAGGACGACAUGUUAUCUUACCACCAGGGACUAGUUCUUGUUCCUGGAGGGAGUGAUAAUGUUGUAACUGGUCCUCACAUCAGAGGCAGCAGAUUACGAGCAUCCGCUGUGGGAGAUGAAGAAGUCGACCUCCUUCUUCCUGGAACAGCCAGGUAAGAGACCGGGGUUCUUAACUCAUGAUUUUACUUCUUUAUUUUUUUACACUUUUCGGCUAGAAAACGACUCUUAUAUCUCUUAUUUAAGAGACGGUUCUUAGUUUUUCUUUAUUAAAAUCUAAGAAAAACUAAGAAGUCUCUUAGCCGAAGCUAAGAAGUCCAGUUAAGAGACUGAGGUUAAUCAUGGUCUUCAAACCAACCAACUAACUAACUCUCAACUCAUUGGCAAAUGAGGAAACUAUGAUUCAUCAUAAUCUCUUGAAAUGCAUAGGCUGCAGAUACAGCAAGGAGUGAACAUGCCGGCAAGAGCAGAGCUGAUACCGGGAACAGAAGAGAAAGACAGACAGAUUCUACACGAUUGCUGCGACGUCGUGCUUUAUCUAGGCAUUAUAGAUAUCUUACAAGAGUACAACAUGACCAAGAAGAUAGAGCAUGCUUACAAGUCUCUUCACUUUGAUUCUAAAUCGAUCUCAGCCGUUGAUCCUACUUACUACUCC